CCUACGGGAGGCAGCAGUGGGGAAUAUUGCACAAUGGGCGAAAGCCUGAUGCAGCAACGCCGCGUGAGCGAUGAAGGCCUUCGGGUCGUAAAGCUCUGUCCUCAAAGAAGAUAAUGACGGUACUUGAGGAGGAAGCCCCGGCAAACUACGUGCCAGCAGCCGCGGCAAUACGUAGGGGGCCAGCGUUAUCCGGAAUUACUGGGCGUAAAGGGGGCGUAGGUGGUUUGUAAAGUCAGAGGUGAAAGGCUACGGCUCAACCGUAGUAAGCCGUUGAAACGGGGAAACUUGAGUGCGGGAGAGGAGAGUGGAAUUCCUAGUGUAGCGGUGAAAUGCGUAGAUAUUAGGAGGAACGCCAGUGGCGAAGGCAGCUCUCUGGACUGUAACUGACACUGAGGCACGAAAGCGUGGGGAGCAAACAGGAUUAGAUACCCGGGUAGUC
RNAcentral lists this ribosomal RNA (439 nucleotides) under uncultured bacterium. RNAcentral describes it as "partial 16S ribosomal RNA". It matches the Rfam family "Bacterial small subunit ribosomal RNA", at positions 338 to 795 of the family's 1533-position model. The record is from RNAcentral.